Molecule: long non-coding RNA, 2027 nt
Organism: Equus caballus (horse)
Lineage: Eukaryota; Metazoa; Chordata; Mammalia; Perissodactyla; Equidae
Source: Ensembl
UAAAAACUGAUUUAAGUGUUAAUACUUCUAAACUUAAGACUCUAAACACUGAAAACAAAGAAAGUAAUCCGAAAUAUGUUUUCAUGGGUAAAACACUCUGUCUGGAAUUCUGGUAUACAAUAUCUACUAAAUAAGUGGAUAUAGGUCUAAAAUCUCUUUACCAUUCCCUUCAAUUUCUUUGGCCUUCACAAAUUCAAUGUGAGCUAUGAAUUCUGUUUCAAUAAACACUUUUCAAUGACACUGUGCUUUUUAGAAAAAUCGCUGAAGUUGUAGCAUACAAAUAGUUAACAUUAGUCUUUCCCUUUUAUUGCUAUAGUCUAUCUUAAUUUUUUAAAAAGAUAUGAGAAAAAACUGACCCCAAAGGACUUCUUAAAAUGUUUGUUAAAGCAAACAUUUCAGCUGAUUUUCCUUCCUUGAAGAGUUAAUAGAAAUAAGUGUCAAAGGACUAUCACCAAGGAGAUUAAAAAAAGGCUCCUUUCCUCCCAUUCUCAUAAUUAACUCAGGCUAAGAGAUUUGUAUUCAAAAAGAUAAGACAAUAUCAUCCCAGCAACAACUUUCUAAGAAAGUUAAGAGAAAAUCUAUCAGCUCUCUCAACCAACAGCCCCACAUGCACGUCACUUGGUCAGCUCCCUCUGAAGAGGGCUGCUGCUGGCCUGCUUCUCACUUUUGCAUCCAACAACUGCUGUUCCUCAGAGUACCACAGAAAUAAGCACGCGCGGCCUGUGAUGAUAACUUACUCCACAAAAUGGAUUUCACCUCUUACAAACAUGAAACGUCCCAAAACUUGGACCAUGAUUUAAGUGAAAAAUCCACGCACAACACUUAACCACCCAGCUCCACUCCAUCUUCCAUUCUCUCCCCCUGCGCCUCCAGUGACCCUAGUCUUCACUAGUGCCGAGUCCACUCGGGGCCAAGUGACUAAAAAAAGAUAGAAAAGCUGACUCCAAAGUAACAAUCAUUUACGGGGCCAUGUGUCAGAUGUUACACAUGAUUCCCGGCCUAAAAAGGGCUCACGGCCUGGGGCAAGGAACUGUAAGUCAUAUAUGAGUGAAUUUAAACUUUAAAUGCUCUACAAGAAAGAACUUUUUAUAUAAAGGACUCCUUUUGUAGAAUAUCUUUCUUGACCUUAUCCUAUAUUAUAUUGGCUUUAACUGGGCAUGCACACUCCUUAGUGAUUUGCCUCAUUACAGUAUCUUUUUUGUGUUUACAAUUAACUUAUAAAAGCAUGUAAAAAUCACUACAUUAAAUGGGGUAGGGAGCAAGAAGUAGGGAUGGGGGGAGAAACCAUGUUUGUUUGGAAAUAUCACUUCUUUGUUCUUAAUUUCAACUUUUGAUAUUCAGUUUAGAACUUAUCCUAGCUUGAAGAAUGUGUGUGUGUGUUUGAGAGAAACAGAAAUAGAGAGACUGUGAAAAACUAAUGACUGAUUUUACUUAUUAGUUUUCACUUAGAAUGCUGACUCAAACAUUAGACCAUUAAGAAAUGCUACAAACCCAUACAAAUCACGUGCAUAAAAUGCUAAUAUAACAAACAUAAGAAAUGACACUAUACGCAUACAAAAACUACCAGGCCUACACAAAAUAACCUCACAAACAAUUCAGAUAGAUAAAUAUAGCUAUAGUAGCUAUAUAUAGGAUGUAAAUAGUAACCCUAUUUUAUUUUUAAAAACAAUUCUAGUCUCUAGGAGAGUCCUUCCAAAUUACCUCAAAAUACGCCAGUUCUUUCUCUAACCCUAACAUACAAGCAGAAUUCUGUUUCUCUUGCAGCGAUCACUAUUAGAAAAUCUUAACCUCAACAAGAAGUUCAAACACAGAAAAAGGAAAAGACUAAGGUUACUUAAUUAUGCUAAAUAUCUUACCUUGAACAUUUAAAAGCGAAAACUCUUGAAAGAGAAGGACUUAACCAAAACAUAAACACGCAGUCCUAGAACCCCCAAGAUUUGGCCCAAAAAGCUCCGUGAAGAAGUUACUACUUACAAUUUUUCGCAUGUCAAACUAAUACUCUACUCUAAAUAUUUUAAUCUAAAUUG